This 484-nucleotide ribosomal RNA is filed under the name Salmonella enterica. RNAcentral describes it as "partial 23S ribosomal RNA". It matches the Rfam family "Bacterial large subunit ribosomal RNA", at positions 109 to 631 of the family's 2925-position model. The record is from RNAcentral. Lineage: Bacteria; Pseudomonadati; Pseudomonadota; Gammaproteobacteria; Enterobacterales; Enterobacteriaceae.
GAUACCCGAAUGGGGAAACCCAGUGUGAUUCGUCACACUAUCAUUAACUGAAUCCAUAGGUUAAUGAGGCGAACCGGGGGAACUGAAACAUCUAAGUACCCCGAGGAAAAGAAAUCAACCGAGAUUCCCCCAGUAGCGGCGAGCGAACGGGGAGGAGCCCAGAGCCUGAAUCAGCAUGUGUGUUAGUGGAAGCGUCUGGAAAGGCGCGCGAUACAGGGUGACAGCCCCGUACACAAAAGCGCAUGUGCUGUGAGCUCGAUGAGUAGGGCGGGACACGUGGUAUCCUGUCUGAAUAUGGGGGGACCAUCCUCCAAGGCUAAAUACUCCUGACUGACCGAUAGUGAACCAGUACCGUGAGGGAAAGGCGAAAAGAACCCCGGCGAGGGGAGUGAAAAAGAACCUGAAACCGUGUACGUACAAGCAGUGGGAGCACAGGUUUACCUGUGUGACUGCGUACCUUUUGUAUAAUGGGUCAGCGACUUAU